CCAGUCCCCCCAGGAAGGAGCUGGUGGAUCCCAGUCCCCCCAGGAAGGAGCUGGUGGAUCCCAGUCCCCCCAGGAAGGAGCUGGUGGAUCCCAGUCCCCCCAGGAAGGAGCUGGUGGAUCCCAGCCCCCCCAGGAAGGAGCUGGUGGAUCCCAGUCCCCCCAGGAAGGAGCUGGUGGAUCCCAGAUCUCCCCAUAGAGGAGUUGGUGGAUCCCAAAUCUCCCCAGGAAGGAGCUGGUGGAUCCCAACCUCUCCAAGAAGGACCCGGCGGAUCCCAGAUCUCCCCGUGGAGGAGCUGGUGGAUCCCAGUCCCUCCAGGAAGGAGCUGGUGGAUCCCAAAUCUCCCCAGGAAGGAGCAAGUGGAUCCCAAUCCUUCUAAGGAGUGGGUGGAUCCCAAACUUCUCCAAGAAGGAGUUGAUGGAUCCCAAACCUCUCCAGGAAGGAGCUGGUGGAUCCCAAAUCUCCCCAGGAAGGAGCUGGUGGAUUCCAGCCCCUCCAGGAAGGACCUAGUGGAUCCCAGUCCCCCCAGGAAGGAGCUGGUGGAUCCCAGUCCCUCCAGGAAGGAGCUGGUGGAUCCCAACCCCUUCAAGAAGGAGCUGGUGGAUCCCAAACCUCCCCAGGAAGGAGCUGGUGGAUCCCAGCCCCCCCAGGAAGGAGCCGGUGGAUCCCGAUCCCCCCAGGAAGAGGAAGGAGCUGCUGGAUCCCAAAGACAGCGUGGGCAGGAGGGCGGGACCCCCGGAAGCCCCCCCCGGACCCCGUGACGUUGACCCACGGCCAUCUCCCAGCCCCACAGCGCACCCUGAGCCAACGGAACCCGACACCGACAACAGCCCCGCAACACCCGGCGGCUACAGGAGCACGCUGCGCCCGCAGCCUGAAGCCCUGAGGGGGCUUGGAGGCCAGCGGGGCCGAUGGCAACGAGCAGAGCCCAAAUUUGGGGGGGGAGGAUGGGGGGGGGGGUGAGGUCCCAGCAGUGCCCCCUCUGGUGUGGGGGCAGCUCAGGCCCCUCCUUCCCUCUGUGGCCCUAUAGGAUCGCUGGGGUGUUGGGGAACCCCCAGCCUCCAGCACCCUAUAGGAUCUCUGGGGGACCCCAGCCUCCAGCACCCUAUAGGAUCUCUGGGGUGUUGGGGGAACCCCAACCUCCAGCACCCUAUAGGGUUUUUGGGGCGCUGGGGGAUCCCACCCUUCUCCCACCAUCUCUGGGCUCAGCUCUGCGGGGCCGGGGCUGCCGGGCUCAGUGCGGAGCGCGGACGGGACCCGGGGUUAAAGCAGAGAGGAGCGGAGCCGGGACGCGGGGCGGCUCAGCCGGGAGCAGCCGGGACGGAUGCGGCAACGUGGCCAAAUUCGGCACCGGCGCCGAGGGCAUCCGAGCCGGGGCUGCCCCCGGUAGAGCUGAGCCAGAAUCCCGUGUUAGUGAGACAGACACACGGACAGCGCGGCACGCGGAAAAGCGAUCCGGCGGCGGCAGGGACGGAGCCCCCACAAUUAAGGCACUGAGCGAGGAUUUUGGGGCGGGGGUCGCAUCUCUGAGCACGGGUUGGUUUGGGGAGG
This is a long non-coding RNA of Numida meleagris (helmeted guineafowl), 1549 nucleotides long. The record is from Ensembl. NCBI's taxonomy places the organism in Eukaryota, Metazoa, Chordata, Aves, Galliformes, Numididae.